This 411-nucleotide ribosomal RNA is filed under the name uncultured microorganism. RNAcentral's name for it is "bacterial SSU rRNA". It matches the Rfam family "Archaeal small subunit ribosomal RNA", at positions 459 to 872 of the family's 1478-position model. The record is from RNAcentral.
CAGCAGCCGCGGUAAUACCGGCGGCCCGAGUGGCGGUCACUAUUAUUGGGCUUAAAGCGUCCGUAGCCGGGUUGGGAAGUCCUCCGGGAAAUCUGGCCGCUUAACGGUCAGAAUGCCGGAGGAUACUCCCAGCCUAGGGAGCGGGAGAGGCCGAGGGUAUUCCCGGAGUAGGGGUGAAAUCCUAUAAUCCCGGGAGGACCACCUGUGGCGAAGGCGCUCGGCUGGAACGCGUCCGACGGUGAGGGACGAAGGCCAGGGGAGCAAACCGGAUUAGAUACCCGGGUAGUCCUGGCUGUAAACGAUGCGGACUUUGUGUCGGACAAGCUAUGAGCUUGGCCGGUGCCGGAGGGAAACCGUUAAGUCCGCCGCCUGGGGAGUACGGCCGCAAGGCUGAAACUUAAAGGAGGCGGG